AAUACAUUUUUACAAUACUGUGAACAAACCAGAGUGUAUAAAACAUGUAAUAUAUUAAAUAUUUAGCAAUGAAUGUUUUAUCNGGGAAUAUUGCUUUUUAUAAUAUAUAUUAUAUUUCGAUGGAGAUAGUUGGAGUUAAGAGUACUGAUAGGCGAGCGGUGAAAUGCAUUGACCCUAUUAAGACUAACAAAAGCGAAAGCACUUAACUAGAUUAUUCUCUUUGUAUUAUUACAAUGAAGAGCGAAGGUUGGGGGAACAAAGAGGAUCAGAUACCCUCGUAGUCCUAUUUUUACAUCAAACUAUGGGAUUUCAAUUACUACCUCUUAUAAACAUUUAAUUAUUUAUUAUAUAUAAUUGAGUACUUAAUUGUUUACUCUUAUAUUUAAUAUUAUUAUUUUUAUUAUUGAUUAUAUGUACUUUGAGCUCAUAUAAUUAUAUAGGUGAGAUGUAAGCAUUAUAGGUGAAUAAUAUAUAAGUAAUAUUAUAUUAUUAUGAUCCUUAUUUAUAAAAAUGUAAUGUGAUG
RNAcentral lists this ribosomal RNA (523 nucleotides) under Sorites sp. Sor_IX. RNAcentral's name for it is "bacterial SSU rRNA". The stretch from base 1 to 377 matches the Rfam family "Eukaryotic small subunit ribosomal RNA", at positions 738 to 1113 of the family's 1831-position model. The record is from RNAcentral. Lineage: Eukaryota; Foraminifera; Miliolida; Soritidae.